RNAcentral lists this ribosomal RNA (253 nucleotides) under uncultured bacterium. RNAcentral's name for it is "partial 16S ribosomal RNA". It matches the Rfam family "Bacterial small subunit ribosomal RNA", at positions 524 to 776 of the family's 1533-position model. The record is from RNAcentral.
UACGUAGGGUGCAAGCGUUGUCCGGAAUUAUUGGGCGUAAAGAGCUCGUAGGCGGUCUGUCGCGUCGGCUGUGAAAACCUGGGGCUUAACUCCGGGCCUGCAGCCGAUACGGGCAGACUAGAGUUCGGCAGGGGAGACUGGAAUUCCUGGUGUAGCGGUGAAAUGCGCAGAUAUCAGGAGGAACACCGGUGGCGAAGGCGGGUCUCUGGGCCGAAACUGACGCUGAGGAGCGAAAGCGUGGGGAGCGAACAGG